This is a long non-coding RNA of Pogoniulus pusillus (Red-fronted tinkerbird), 351 nucleotides long. RefSeq lists it as uncharacterized. The transcript is spliced from 3 exons. NCBI's taxonomy places the organism in Eukaryota, Metazoa, Chordata, Aves, Piciformes, Lybiidae. The record is from RefSeq and is a predicted model, not a curated record.
CACAAAACUCAUUCUACACAGAGUCAGUGUUUGAAGAGUGCAACUUGUGGCUCGCAAAUCCAAGUGGGUGAAGCAGUGAAGUAUUGCUCUGUGAUGGAAGGAUGGAUACCCUGCAGUAUUCAGUGUGGGAUGGGGCUCUGCCACAUGGUCAGCUUGAGACAGUUACUGGAAAAUAAGGCUUAUGGUGAACAUCAUUCUGGAAAGUACUGAUGAAAGUGAGGAUAUCUUGAAGAGCUGAGCUUCCUAUCUGAGUCCCAGUGCUUGUGAAUUCUCACCCUCCUGCCUCUUCAUUCACUUUUGUCUUUCUUAUGCUUGGAAUCACCAGUGGGACACUUGCUGGAAGAUCAUCAC